CCUACGGGAGGCAGCAGUGGGGAAUAUUGCACAAUGGGGGAAACCCUGAUGCAGCCACGCCGCGUGAGUGAAGAAGGAUCUCGGUACGUAAAGCUCUAUUAGCAGGGAAGAAAAUGACGGUACCUGACUACGAAGCCCCGGCUAACUACGAGACAGAAGCCGCGGUAACACGUAGGGGGCCAGCGUUAUCCGGAUUUACUGGGUGUAAAGGGGGCGUAGGCGGCAGCGCAAGUCUGAAGUGAAAUCCCAUGGCUUAAACAUGGAACUGCUGUGGAAACUGUGCAGCUGGAGUGCAGGAGAGGUAAGCGGAAUGCCUGGUGUAGCGGUGAAAUGCGUAGAUAUUAGGAGGAACACCAGUGGCGAAGGCAGCUUACUGGACUGUAACUGACGUUGAGGCACGAAAGCGUGGGGAGCAAACAGGAUUAGAUACCCGUGUAGUC
RNAcentral lists this ribosomal RNA (440 nucleotides) under uncultured bacterium. RNAcentral describes it as "partial 16S ribosomal RNA". It matches the Rfam family "Bacterial small subunit ribosomal RNA", at positions 338 to 795 of the family's 1533-position model. The record is from RNAcentral.